AGCAGCCGCGGUAAUUCCAGCUCCAAUAGCGUAUAUUAAAGUUGUUGCAGUUAAAAAGCUCGUAGUUGAAUUUCGAGACCGGUUUAUUGGUCGUGCUUUUGUACGUACUGGUAUUAUUGGUUUCUCCUUUCUGACGAAUCAUAAUGCCAUUAAUUUGGUGUUUUGGGGAAUCAGGACUGUUACUUUGAAAAAAUUAGAGUGUUUAAAGCAGGCUCACGCUUGAAUACAUUAGCAUGGAAUAACGAAAUAGGACGUUUGUAUUUUAUUUGUUGGUUUCUAGGAUCGACGUAAUGAUUAAUAGGGAUAGUUGGGGCAUUAGUAUUCAAUUGUCAGAGGUGAAAUUCUUGGAUUUAUUGAAGACUAACUACUGACGAAAGCAUUUGCCUAAGGAUGUUUCAUUAAUCAAAGAACGAAAGUUA
Molecule: ribosomal RNA, 419 nt
Filed under: uncultured Glomus
Lineage: Eukaryota; Fungi; Glomeromycota; Glomeromycetes; Glomerales; Glomeraceae
Description: SSU rRNA
Rfam family: Eukaryotic small subunit ribosomal RNA
Source: RNAcentral